Molecule: ribosomal RNA, 641 nt
Filed under: Tetrapisispora nanseiensis
Lineage: Eukaryota; Fungi; Ascomycota; Saccharomycetes; Saccharomycetales; Saccharomycetaceae
Description: LSU rRNA
Rfam family: Eukaryotic large subunit ribosomal RNA
Source: RNAcentral
AUUUUUUAAAGACGACACAAGUUUGACCUCAAAUCAGGUAGGAAUACCCGCUGAACUUAAGCAUAUCAAUAAGCGGAGGAAAAGAAACCAACCGGGAUUGCCUUAGUAACGGCGAGUGAAGCGGCAAGAGCUCAAAUUUGAAAUCUGGUACCCUUGGUGCCCGAGUUGUAAUUUGUAGAGCGUAACUUCUGGAGCAGGCUUUGCCUAUGUUCUUUGGAACAAGACGUCAUGGAGGGUGAUAAUCCCGUGUGGCGAGGUAUGUGCUCUGUUGUGAGUUGCGUUCGACGAGUCGAGUUGUUUGGGAAUGCAGCUCUAAGUGGGUGGUAUACUCCAUCUAAAGCUAAAUAUCAGCGAGAGACCGAUAGCGAACAAGUACAGUGAUGGAAAGAUGAAAAGAACUUUGAAAAGAGAGUGAAAAAGUACGUGAAAUUGUUGAAAGGGAAGGGCAUUUGAUCAGACAUGGUAGGUAGUGCCCUGUGCCCCUUGUGGGUGCGGGACUCUCGCUGCUUGCUGGGCCAGCAUGAGUUUUGGGGCUUUGAUAACGGCGCUGGAAUGUGGCUUUGCACAUUGUGUAAAGUGUUUAUAGCCAGUGUUAAUGGAGGCACCCGGGACUGAGGACUGCGACAUUUCAAGAUGCUGCG